This 357-nucleotide ribosomal RNA is filed under the name uncultured bacterium. Its description in RNAcentral is "partial 16S ribosomal RNA". It matches the Rfam family "Bacterial small subunit ribosomal RNA", at positions 338 to 693 of the family's 1533-position model. The record is from RNAcentral.
CCUACGGGUGACAGCAGUGAGGAAUAUUGGUCAAUGGUCGGGAGACUGAACCAGCCAAGCCGCGUGAGGGAUGAAGGUACAGAGUAUCGUAAACCUCUUUUGUCAGGGAACAAAGGCGGGGACGCGUCCCCGGAUGAGUGUAUCUGAAGAAAAAGCAUCGGUAAAAUCUGUGGAAGCAGCCGCGGUAAUACGGAGGAGGCGAGCGUUAUCCGGAUUUAUGGGGGUAAAGGGGUGCGCAGGCGGUCUGUUAAGUCAGCGGUAAAAGCCCGGGACUAAACCCCGGCCCGCCGUUGAAACUGGCAGUCUCGAGUGUGAGAGAGGUAUGCGGAAUGCGCGGUGUAGCGGUAAAAUGCGUAG